Molecule: ribosomal RNA, 585 nt
Filed under: uncultured bacterium
Lineage: Bacteria
Description: bacterial SSU rRNA
Rfam family: Bacterial small subunit ribosomal RNA
Source: RNAcentral
CCUACGGGAGGCAGCAGUGGGGAAUUUUGGACAAUGGGCGCAAGCCUGAUCCAGCAAUGCCGCGUGAGUGAAGAAGGCCUUCGGGUUGUAAAGCUCUUUUGUCAGGGAAGAAACGGCUCCAGCUAAUAUCUGGGGCUAAUGACGGUACCUGAAGAAUAAGCACCGGCUAACUACGUGCCAGCAGCCGCGGUAAUACGUAGGGUGCAAGCGUUAAUCGGAAUUACUGGGCGUAAAGCGUGCGCAGGCGGUUUUGUAAGUCUGUCGUGAAAGCCCCGGGCUCAACUUGGGAAUUGCGAUGGAGACUGCAAGGCUUGAAUCUGGCAGAGGGGGGUAGAAUUCCACGUGUAGCAGUGAAAUGCGUAGAGAUGUGGAGGAACACCGAUGGCGAAGGCAGCCCCCUGGGUCAAGAUUGACGCUCAUGCACGAAAGCGUGGGGAGCAAACAGGAUUAGAUACCCUGGUAGUCCACGCCCUAAACGAUGUCUACUAGUUGUCGGGUUUUAAUUAACUUGGUAACGCAGCUAACGCGUGAAGUAGACCGCCUGGGGAGUACGGUCGCAAGAUUAAAACUCAAAGGAAUUGACGG